Molecule: long non-coding RNA, 901 nt
Filed under: Gossypium barbadense (sea-island cotton)
Lineage: Eukaryota; Viridiplantae; Streptophyta; Magnoliopsida; Malvales; Malvaceae
Description: long non-coding RNA (GBAR_LNC004731)
Source: RNAcentral
UUUCAGCUGUGCUUUAAAACAAAAAAAGGAAGGGAGUUUUGGGUUUUUUGGCAGCCUCUGUUUUCGGUGAUCGGACCACCGUUCGUCCGUCGCCGGUGACCGCCGUGCACAGCGGCUGGAGGUGCUAAACGGAUCCCUUUUUAACCCUUUCACUCUCCUUACCUAAAAUCUAAACCCCAAACACGCAAAAACCUCCUAGCAAGUCGGAGAAAGCCAAAGGAACCUUCCGAUUUCGACUUCCCCAACUCGACAUAGGUAAGACCGAUCGUAUUCCUCUCUUUUUUUAUGUAUGUACACAAACUAUACUGAAUAAAUUCGUAAAAGGUGUAAGAACAGAACGAAAGACCACCUUUUUGGCUGAAUAUUCUUCGAUUUUUUUUAUUUGCUUUUUUGUAACGUAAAAAAAAACAUUGUUUUUUCGAGGCUCUCUUAUAGCCGAAUACAAAGGCCUUCUUUUACUGUUUGUUACUGUUUUGUUAUGCUUUGCUUCUUUUCUUUCUUUUUGUUUCUGUUUUGCAGGCCUAGGCGAAGUCAACGGGGGCGGGUUCUUUCCUUUUUAGUGCAACGGGAAAAGGGGAACCAGGCCUCGAGCGUUGGGCGUGCCGAUGAAGCACGUGGGAGGUGUACGGCGCCAGAGGGAAACUAGGGUUUCCUAGUUUGCCAAAAAAUGGCUUGAGUUUUGGGCCAAUCGGGCCAUCAGAAAAUUUGGGUUAGGGGUUUAAGUUAAUGGGUUUGUAAUUGGGUUUUGGAAAUAUGGGCCGAUUUAACUUUGUAACUGGACAUUUAAUGGUCUUGGGACUUUAUUUGGUUAUUUUUUGGUUUCUAAUGGGCCGGGCAAAAUAGGGCUCUUACAAUCACCAUUACAAGAUAACUGUUCUUAAUCAAUUUUUAUUAACUCGUG